GCCGGGUGCGGUGGCAUGUGCCUGUAAUCCAAGUCACUGGGAGGCUGAGGUUGGUGGAUCAAGUGAGCUGAGGAGCUCUGGGCUGCAGCACACUAUGUUGAACGGGUGUCCACGCUAAGUUCGCUAUCGAUAUGGUGUUCCCGGGGGAGCCCGGGACCACCAGGUUGUCUAAGGAGGGGUAAACCGGCCCAGGUCGGAAACGAAGCAGGUCAAAUCCCCCGUGCUGUCCAGUAGUUGGAUAAUACCUGUGAGUAGAUGCUGCAGUGCACCCUUGGCAAAACAUCGAGACCUAAUCUUUU
Unclassified non-coding RNA from Oncorhynchus kisutch (coho salmon), 299 nucleotides. It matches the Rfam family "Metazoan signal recognition particle RNA". From Rfam's summary of the family: The signal recognition particle (SRP) is a universally conserved ribonucleoprotein. It is involved in the co-translational targeting of proteins to membranes. NCBI's taxonomy places the organism in Eukaryota, Metazoa, Chordata, Actinopteri, Salmoniformes, Salmonidae. The record is from Ensembl.